UGGGUAACCUGCCUCAAAGAGGGGAAUAGCCUCCCGAAAGGGAGAUUAAUACCGUAUAAUAUGUUUAAGUCGCAUGACUUUAACAUCAAAGGAUUUUCUUUUAGAAAUUCCACUCUGAGAUGGACCCGCGGCGCAUUAGCUAGUUGGUGAGGUAACGGCUCACCAAGGCAACGAUGCGUAGCCGACCUGAGAGAGUGAUCGGCCACAUUGGAACUGAGACACGGUCCAGACCU
RNAcentral lists this ribosomal RNA (233 nucleotides) under uncultured bacterium. RNAcentral's name for it is "partial 16S ribosomal RNA". It matches the Rfam family "Bacterial small subunit ribosomal RNA", at positions 118 to 338 of the family's 1533-position model. The record is from RNAcentral.